AGCUACUUGAUUUGGUUUUAGACCAUGAGUUGUGGGUUUCUCAUGCCUUCACGCUGCCCAGAAGCCCCUUCUCCAUCUGACAUCCACCAUAAUCCUGCCUCUGAAUUAUUGAGAGGAGCGAAGCAGGAGCAGCACCAGCAGCAGAAGCAGCGGCUCGGUCUCUGAUUAUCCUGCGAUCGAUACGCCUCGCCUGCCUCGCUAUCACAUCAAACAAGCGGGGGAUAUCGAUCGCACCAAUCACUCACGCUUUUUUUCUUUCCUUCUUUCUUCCUCUCUUAAGGUGCUUUAUUAGCAUCUCUACUCUCUGCUCCCUCUCCUCUCUCCAGCACACAGCCGCCAUGUUGCUGCUAAGCUCUGAAACAUGAUGUAAUGCACACAGACAUGCUCCUGCACACUGAAAGUCAAAUGGGAGAUAAAAAAAAAGAUGCAACUUUUGAAAAGUGGAGCGAGAGGCGCAAAAUAAACCAAAACAUCACAUUUACAGAGGUCCGAUUCGGUGGAGCGACGGUUCGUAGCAGACGGAAAUCUCACGCCCUUCCUUUCGACAGCUCUGGUUGCUCUGCUCAGCUCUCCUCGGGUCUCCUCAGCUUUCCUGGGCAAACUCGGCCCCGAUGUGUGUGUUUGCUCAAGAAAACAGCGAGCGGCAAAAAAACCAUUACAAUUGAGAAAGAGCCAAAUGCCAAAGGAUUACAGCUCUGCUGAGCCCUGGAGAAGACUGGCAGUGGAGAGGAUGAAGAUGAGGAGGUGGAGGAGGAGGAGGAGGAAGAGGCACGUGGGAGGAACUGAAAUGAGGAUAAGAUGAGAAAGAGAGAAAGAGAGAGACGAGGAAGUGGGGUCAUAUAGUGCGCUGUCUCCACACGCAGAAACACCUUGUGCUGGGAUUUGGCCGAUGUUUUCCCAGCACUACGCUGGGAUUUUCACCAGAAUCGGUGCCAUGUGAAACACAAACACAUCCAGGAACACCAGCGCUCGCUUGCCAGGGUGAAGGCAAAACUGUUAGAUGUUAGCUGUUUGGAUUUCACCUUCCGUAUUGCUUUAGCUUGUUUAGGCUUCUCUUGCUAUGCUGUAUAACUGUGACUGUAUGUAAAAGGUGAAGCAAAACCAGCAAAAGCAUUGCGUUUCAGGAUCAUUGUACUCAUUCAGGUACAUGCAGGACACACACUACACAAUGAUACUCGAGUCUUCCGAGAGUCAGAUUGCUGACACGUAUAUAAGCCCUGCUGAGAGGGGGGUUUGGAGGGGGGAUUGAUUUUUCUGAAACGUAUUGAAAUAUAUAUAAUAGCAAUGUAUUUAAAAUAUGUAUUCAAUUUCUGUACUGGGAUUAGCAUCAGGAUGCGUGGGAGGUUUUCCCCAGCCGUGCAUCUCUCUCGGCUCAGCUUCCUCCAUUACAAUUCCUGUCGUCAGCUUAGUUGUGGAAAAUGGCGGCCGAGGCUGUGAGGAAGACGAGCAGAUGGGCGUCAGCGUUCGAGGCACGUGCUCUCAGAGAUUAAGAUUAAGGCCUCUUUGUUAUUAAUAGACAGUUUUAAUCAGGGUGCCUCCCAGGACGCCUGGUCCCUGUUUCUGGCCGAGAUGCAGUGGCGUCCCGAUCCGCAGAGGCGCUGCUGAAACAAGCGCUUUAAAGCGUGCCACGUUUUUGCCACACAUUACACGCAUGAGUGCAGCAGGAUCCCACCCACCCCGAGAAAACUGCACCGGCGCUAUCGAUCAGGAUCGCAGCGUGGACGCCGAAUGCAGAGAAUGCAGCAUGUGUAUCGUGUAAGUAAGAUAUACAGUAUUUCAGUAUUGAAUGUGGUAUGUAGUGUGUGGUACAGUCUAGAACAAUAUUGUAUAUAUUGUAGUGAAGUAUAUCGUGUUAGAAUAUAUUUGAUUUUCUUUAUCUGCAUAUCUAUAUAUUGUCCCCUUAUACUGUACUGUAAGACAGAGUUAUUUUGUGUGUGUGUGUGUGUGUGUGUGUGUGUGUGUGUGUGUGUGUGUUGGUGAAAGCAGUGAUCCUUAGUAAUUGAAGACCAGGGCUGUCAGUGGUGACCUGCAGGAGGCCAGGGAUGAAAUGUAUUCCAUUUUCUCGGGUUGGUGUUGGGAUUGACAGCCUGCUGAGGUCCAGCUCCGACAGGCAGCAACGAAAAGUCACCCUGUCGAUCCAGACUGUGCUCCUGCACACAUCAGCUUUCCUUACUUCUCUCUUUCGCACACACACACACACACACACACACACACACACACACACACACCUGUGAUACAACGACUCACACCGGCUCUGCCCUCCACACCACCCUCUCACACAAUCUCUCUACAGUAUAACACCAUCGAUAUUAUCACACCAUGAUCUUCUCAUCACGCAGGUUUCACACAC
Molecule: long non-coding RNA, 2350 nt
Organism: Silurus meridionalis
Lineage: Eukaryota; Metazoa; Chordata; Actinopteri; Siluriformes; Siluridae
Exons: 3
Source: RefSeq, a predicted model, not a curated record